CCUACGGGGGGCUGCAGUGGGGAAUAUUGGACAAUGGGGGGAACCCUGAUCCAGCCAUGCCGCGUGUGUGAAGAAGGCCCUCGGGUUGUAAAGCACUUUCAGUGAGGAAGAACGCCUGGUGGUGAAUACCCAUCAGGAAAGACAUCACUCACAGAAGAAGCACCGGCUAACUCCGUGCCAGCAGCCGCGGUAAUACGGAGGGUGCGAGCGUUAAUCGGAAUUACUGGGCGUAAAGCGCGCGUAGGUGGCUUGAUAAGCCGGUUGUGAAAGCCCCGGGCUCAACCUGGGAACGGCAUCCGGAACUGUCAAGCUAGAGUGCAGGAGAGGAAGGUAGAAUUCCCGGUGUAGCGGUGAAAUGCGUAGAGAUCGGGAGGAAUACCAGUGGCGAAGGCGGCCUUCUGGACUGACACUGACACUGAGGUGCGAAAGCGUGGGUAGCAAACAGGAUUAGAUACCCUGGUAGUC
RNAcentral lists this ribosomal RNA (465 nucleotides) under Vreelandella stevensii. Its description in RNAcentral is "partial 16S ribosomal RNA". It matches the Rfam family "Bacterial small subunit ribosomal RNA", at positions 338 to 795 of the family's 1533-position model. The record is from RNAcentral. Lineage: Bacteria; Pseudomonadati; Pseudomonadota; Gammaproteobacteria; Oceanospirillales; Halomonadaceae.